Long non-coding RNA from Crotalus tigris (Tiger rattlesnake), 441 nucleotides. RefSeq lists it as uncharacterized. The transcript is spliced from 3 exons. The record is from RefSeq and is a predicted model, not a curated record. Lineage: Eukaryota; Metazoa; Chordata; Lepidosauria; Squamata; Viperidae.
UGGUACUGGACCUGAAAAUGUUUAGGUAGAAGUGUAGAACUUUAAGUCCAGAGGGAAGCAAGAAAAUUAUUCAGCACAGAAUUGCAGAAGUCCCAACUACAUGCAAGUCACCUGCUUUUUCUUACAGGUAUAAACCUCGGCUUCUUUAUCUUUCCCCCCCUCUCCCCUCAGCCCAAACGCAUCUGAAAUUCCUAGGAUGCCAGAAGCCUUCAGUGAAAAUGAGUUAUGUCUGCUCAAGCUCUUGCAAGCUUUUGCAAACUCAAGCCAAAAGAAUUUGGGUCAGCCCAGCGAAAGGCCAGGGAUGAAAAGAAUGCUACAGGGCAUUGCAUGCCAAAACAAAGGAGACCCAGAGAAAGUUUUUAUCCUUGUGUCAUCACUCUACUGAACAGUAUAUUAACCCAUGUAGUAUGGUUGUAUUACUUUUAUCCGUCUCACUUGUUC